RNAcentral lists this ribosomal RNA (381 nucleotides) under uncultured bacterium. RNAcentral's name for it is "bacterial SSU rRNA". It matches the Rfam family "Archaeal small subunit ribosomal RNA", at positions 473 to 853 of the family's 1478-position model. RNAcentral also lists the same sequence under 1 other name. The record is from RNAcentral.
AUACCGGCAGCUCGAGUGAUGACCGAUUUUAUUGGGCCUAAAGCGUCCGUAGCCGGCCGGGCAAGUUCGUCGGGAAAUCUACCAGCUCAACUGGUAGGCGUCCGACGAAAACUGCUCGGCUUGGGACAGGGAGACUCAAGAAGUACGUCCGGGGUAGGAGUGAAAUCCCGUAAUCCUGGACGGACUACCGAUGGCGAAAGCAUCUUGAGAGAACUGCUCCGACGGUCAGGGACGAAAGCUGGGGUCUCGAACCGGAUUAGAUACCCGGGUAGUCCCAGCUGUAAACGAUGCUCGUUAGGUGCGACGCAGACUACGCGUCUGUGUUGUGCCGUAGGGAAGCCGAGAAACGAGCCGCCUGGGAAGUACGUCCGCAAGGAUGAA